GCGCCCGGCUGCGCAGGAGCAGGGUGGCCAGAGGCCUCGGAGACCCCAGCCUCCUGAGCCUGUCCUCCGCCGCAGGCGGCAGCGAUUGAGCAACCGACCCCGUCAAAGCGACCGGGGUCCGCGGGAACCGAAGUCCGCGCCCACGGUGGGACUUCACUGUGAGCGCAGUUCCAGGCUAAGUUGAGAGAACUUCUAAGAACUCACCUUAUGGAAAACAACCAACUCAAAGACCUUCCAAUUUUUAAGUGCUGAGGAUUGACCAGGACCUCCUGCAUGUUAGGCAAGCGCUCUGUCACUGAGCUACACGUCCAGCCCUUGUGAUUCUCUUUACUUGAAAUGUUCGGAUCAGAUAAGUGAGAGAGACCCCGACAGAAAAGACGCUGCAAUAUUAUAUCACCUAACAGGACAACUGGAAAGGAGACAAGUGAAUGGGAUCAGGAUAAAGUGAGAUGGCACCUUUAGUUUUAUACCAGCAAAAUUCCUAAUUUAAAAAAAAUAUAUAAAUCUAUUAAAAC
Molecule: long non-coding RNA, 515 nt
Organism: Sciurus carolinensis (gray squirrel)
Lineage: Eukaryota; Metazoa; Chordata; Mammalia; Rodentia; Sciuridae
Exons: 4
Source: RefSeq, a predicted model, not a curated record